GUGCCGGGCCUUACAGGUCUGGCAAUUGGAAUGAGAACAAUUUAAAUCCCUUAUCGAGGAUCAAUUGGAGGCAAGUCUGGUGCCAGCAGCCGCGGUAAUUCCAGCUCCAAUAGCGUAUAUUAAAGUUGUUGCAGUUAAAAGGCUCGUAGUUGGAUUUGUGGUUUACGCAAGGCUUCCGUCCCUUUUGGGUUUCGGUGUUGCCUGGCGUUGCCAUCCUUGGGUGGAAUCUGUGUGGCAUUAGGUUGUCGUGCAGGGGAUGCCCAUCGUUUACUGUGAAAAAAUUAGAGUGUUCAAAGCAGGCUUAUGCCGUUGAAUAUGUUAGCAUGGAAUAAUAAUAUAGGACCUUGGUACUAUUUUGUUGGUUUGCGCACCGAGGUAAUGAUUAACAGGGUCAACUGGGGAUAUUCGUAUUCCGCUGUCAGAGGUGAAAUUCUUGGAUUUUUGGAAGACGAACUACUGCGAAAGCAUUUAUCAAGGAUGUUUUCAUUAAUCAAGAACGAAAGUUAGGGGAUCGAAGAUGAUUAGAUACCAUCGUGGUCUUAACCAUAAACUAUGCCGACAAGGGAUUGGUGGAGUAUCGUUACGUCUCCAUCAGCACCUUAUGAGAAAUCAAAAGUCUUUGGGUUCCGGGGGGAGUAUGGUCGCAAGGCUGAAACUUAAAGAAAUUGACGGAAGGGCACCACCAGGAGUGGAGCCUGCGGCUUAAUUUGACCCAACACGGGAAAACUUACCAGGUCCAGACAUAGUGAGGAUUGACAGAUUGAGAGCUCUUUCUUGAUUCUAUGGGUGGUGGCGCAUGGCCGUUCUUAGUUGGUGGAGUGAUUUGUCUGGUUAAUUCCGUUAACGAACGAGACCCCUGCCUGCUAAAUAGCCCAGUGAGUGAUUUUUCACUGACUGUUGGCUUCUUAGAGGGACGUGCAUUCUAUUAGAUGCAGGAAGAUAGGGGCAAUAACAGGUCUGUGAUGCCCUUAGAUGUCCUGGGCCGCACGCGCGCUACACUGAUGAAUUCAACGAGUUUUUUCCUUGGCCGAGAGGCCUGGGCAAUCUUUUGAACGUUCAUCGUGAUAGGGAUAGAUUAUUGCAAUUAUUAAUCUUGAACGAGGAAUUCCUAGUAAACGCAGAUCAUCAAUCUGCAUUGAUUACGUCCCUGCCCUUUGUACACACCGCCCGUCGCACCUACCGAUUGAAUGGUCCGGUGAAGCCUCGGGAUUGUGGUCAGUUUGCUUUAUUGCGAGUUGAUUGCGAGAACUUGUCUAAACCUUAUCAUUUAGAGGAAGGUGAAGUC
RNAcentral lists this ribosomal RNA (1285 nucleotides) under metagenome. RNAcentral describes it as "SSU rRNA". It matches the Rfam family "Eukaryotic small subunit ribosomal RNA", at positions 483 to 1790 of the family's 1831-position model. The record is from RNAcentral.